Small nuclear RNA from Callithrix jacchus (white-tufted-ear marmoset), 101 nucleotides. Lineage: Eukaryota; Metazoa; Chordata; Mammalia; Primates; Cebidae. The record is from Ensembl.
GCGAUAUUGGAAUGAUACUAAAACUUGGAAUAACACCGAGAAAAUUACCAUGGGCCCUGUGCAAGGAUAACACACAAACUAGCAAAGCAUUUAAUAUUUUG